This 97-nucleotide transfer RNA is filed under the name Thiemannella venezuelensis. RNAcentral's name for it is "Planomonospora venezuelensis tRNA-Arg". The record is from RNAcentral. Lineage: Bacteria; Bacillati; Actinomycetota; Actinomycetes; Streptosporangiales; Streptosporangiaceae.
CUCCGUCCGGGGGGCGGCCGCGGCCCGGUGCGUUCCGGCCGGGCCGGCGUGGAUGGCCUACCACGACAGGCUGUUCGAGGAGCAGCCGCCGGAGACC